RNAcentral lists this ribosomal RNA (253 nucleotides) under uncultured bacterium. RNAcentral's name for it is "partial 16S ribosomal RNA". It matches the Rfam family "Bacterial small subunit ribosomal RNA", at positions 524 to 776 of the family's 1533-position model. The record is from RNAcentral.
UACAGAGGGGGCUAGCGUUGUUCGGAAUUACUGGGCGUAAAGGGCGCGUAGGCGGCCUGUUAAGUCGAACGUGAAAUCCCCGGGCUCAACCCGGGAACUGCGUCCGAUACUGGCAGGCUUGAAUCCGGGAGAGGGAUGUGGAAUUCCAGGUGUAGCGGUGAAAUGCGUAGAUAUCUGGAGGAACACCGGUGGCGAAGGCGGCAUCCUGGACCGGUAUUGACGCUGAGGCGCGAAAGCCAGGGGAGCAAACAGG